This 460-nucleotide ribosomal RNA is filed under the name uncultured bacterium. RNAcentral describes it as "partial 16S ribosomal RNA". It matches the Rfam family "Bacterial small subunit ribosomal RNA", at positions 338 to 795 of the family's 1533-position model. The record is from RNAcentral.
CCUACGGGUGGCAGCAGUGAGGAAUAUUGGUCAAUGGACGAGAGUCUGAACCAGCCAAGUAGCGUGAAGGAUGACUGCCCUAUGGGUUGUAAACUUCUUUUAUAUGGGAAUAAAACAGGGCAUGCAUACCCUCUUGUAUGUACCAUAUGAAUAAGGAUCGGCUAACUCCGUGCCAGAAGCCGCGGUAAGACGGAGGAUCCGAGCGUUAUCCGGAUUGUGUGGGUUUAAAGGGAGCGUUGGAGGCUUGUGUAGUCCGUUGUGUAAGUUUGCGGCUCAACCGUAAAAUUGCAGUUGAAACUGGCAGUCUUUGGUACAGUAGAGGUGGGCGGAAUUCGUGGUGUAGCGGUGAAAUGCUUAGAUAUCACGAAGAACUCCGAUUGCGAAGGCAGCUCACUGGACUGCACCUGACACUGCUGCUCGAACGUGUGGGUAUCAAACAGGAUUAGAUACCCCGGUAGUC